AUGGCCGCCAACCCAGCGCUGCUGCGGGCCAUGGCCACCAACCCCGCAUCACGAGGCAGGAAGGAAGCCAGCCUCACACCACAGUACCAGAUGGCCACCAGCUCAGCUCCGACGCUCAAGAUGGCUGCUGACUCAUUUUUAGACUAUUUCUCCAUGCUGUCACUGAUCCUAGAAGUUCCCAAAACUGUUCACGUCAAAGCUGCUGAGCCAGCGCCACAACCCAAGAUGGCCGCCAAUCCAGCACCACAGCACAAGAUGGCGGCCAGUCCAGCGCCACAGCCCAAGAUGGCCGCCAGCCUAGCACCACAGCACAAGAUGGUCGCCAGCUUAGAGCCACAGCACAAGAUGGCCGACUCAACGUCUGAGUCGCCAGUCAAGGUGCCCUUGACUCACCAUCGUAGAGUGCGGAGGACUGGGAGACAGGCUUCUACCGUUCCUCAAAGCCUGGAGAACGUUCCCGAGCGGGCUGCUGCCAUCCAGGGGGACGUUCCUGAGCGGGCCGCUGCCGUCCAGGAGGACGUUACCAAGCAGGCCGCUGCUGUCCAGGAGGACGUUUCCGUGUGGGCCGCUUCCGUCCCCAAGGCUGUGCCCGAGGUCGUUCCCGAUGCAGUGACCGAGGCGGUGCCCAAGGCUGUUCCGGAGGUCGAGGCGGUGCCCGAGGCUGUUCCAGAGGCCGAGGUGGUGCCCAAUGCUGUUCCAGAGGCCGAGGCGGCGCCCGAUGCUGUACCAGAGGCUGAGGCAGUGCCCAAGGCCGUUCCUGAUGCGGUGACCGAGACCGCUCCCGAGGCCGUUACCGAGGCGGUGCCUGAGGCCUUUCCCGAUGCAGUGUCCGAGGCCGAUCCCGAUGCCUUGACCGAGGCGGUGCACGAAACAGUUCCAGAGACAGUGCCCGAAGCCAAGGCGCUUCAGGUCUUCACAGACAGUCCAGAGUCUAGUCAGAUUCCCAUGGACUCUCUGGAAUUGGGUCAGGUUCCGAUGGACUCUCCGGACUCGAGUCGGGUUCCGGUGGACUCUCAGGAGUCAAGUCAGGUUCCGGUGGACUCUCAGGAGUCGAGUCAGGUUCCGGGGGACUCUCAGGAGUCGAGUCAGGUUCCGGGGGACUCUCAGGAGUCGAGUCAGGUUCCGGGGGACUCUCAGGAGUCGAGUCAGGUUCCGGGGGACUCUCAGGAGUCGAGUCAGGUUGACUCUAUGUAG
This 1194-nucleotide long non-coding RNA is filed under the name Carassius auratus (goldfish). RNAcentral describes it as "lncRNA (ENSCARG00000041883.1)". Lineage: Eukaryota; Metazoa; Chordata; Actinopteri; Cypriniformes; Cyprinidae. The record is from RNAcentral.